UAAAUUUGUCGUCUCUUCUCAGUUGUGACAUUGCAAUUGAAACAAUGCGGAGAGUGCCGAAUUAAAUGCGUCCACGAGACAGUGUCAAGAAUAACACGUUAAAGAAACCGAUCCUCGCGAAACGGCAGGUCAUCGAGACAUUUGACAUCUGAGGAAGAUGAAACCACCAUCGUUACGGCUUAAUUGAUCAUUAACGAACAGUCAGUUCGAUUCAGGAAGAAAACCUCAGACACCGGCUGUUGUUUUGUAGCCUCCCUUCCCCCGCCGCCUCCUGACGCAUUUCAGUGGGAAAAUAAUUAAAAAGGGCCCACAGAGAGAGUCCCGAUCGACGGCACGGCGGAGUCGCAUAAAUUGAAACUGGUUUCAACUGGCCAACGUUGGUUCAAUCUGGCGUGUCAAUCCGAACGAAUCCAGAAGCUUUCCGCUACCACCUUGGCUCUUCCCCUUCUCUGUGCGUGCGUGUGACAUCUUUUUGCAUAAGGUCAGGCCUUUCUUCUUUUCCGUUUUCUUUUUUAUUUCGUUCACUCUGCCCCGCGAGGAUUCCGAGGAAGCCGAUGAUUAUUACGUGGCAUAGAUGAUAAAGCUGCGCGGCGAGGCCGCAACUUGAAAGUCAGACAGCAAAAAUUGGCAGUGCCAAAUGCGACAUGGAAGACUCAGCAUUUGUUACAAUUCAACAUACAAAUAACGAUUUAUCUUAAAAAUGAUAACAAAUAGAUUAUGCUCCUAUGCAUAAACAUUAUUCUCAUAAGAAUAAUGAGAAUCAUCUUUGUCCUUAAUUAUAAAUUAUAAAUAAAAUUUGCUAAGAAAUUUCUCAAUCAAUUAAA
Molecule: long non-coding RNA, 824 nt
Organism: Pogonomyrmex barbatus (red harvester ant)
Lineage: Eukaryota; Metazoa; Arthropoda; Insecta; Hymenoptera; Formicidae
Source: RefSeq, a predicted model, not a curated record